RNAcentral lists this ribosomal RNA (467 nucleotides) under uncultured bacterium. RNAcentral's name for it is "partial 16S ribosomal RNA". It matches the Rfam family "Bacterial small subunit ribosomal RNA", at positions 28 to 506 of the family's 1533-position model. The record is from RNAcentral.
GACGAACGCUGGCGGCGUGCUUAACACAUGCAAGUCGAACGGAAAGGCCCUGCUUUUGUGGGGUGCUCGAGUGGCGAACGGGUGAGUAACACGUGAGUAACCUGCCCUUGACUUUGGGAUAACUUCAGGAAACUGGGGCUAAUACCGGAUAGGAGCUCCUGCUGCAUGGUGGGGGUUGGAAAGUUUCGGCGGUUGGGGAUGGACUCGCGGCUUAUCAGCUUGUUGGUGGGGUAGUGGCUUACCAAGGCUUUGACGGGUAGCCGGCCUGAGAGGGUGACCGGCCACAUUGGGACUGAGAUACGGCCCAGACGCCUACGGGAGGCAGCAGUGGGGAAUAGUGCACGAUGGGCGGAAGCCUGAUGCAGCAACGCCGCGUGCGGGAUGACGGCCUUCGGGUUGGAAACCGCUUUCGCCUGUGACGAAGCGUGAGUGACGGUAAUGGGUAAAGAAGCACCGGCUAACUACGU